CCUACGGGUGGCAGCAGUAGGGAAUUUUCGUCAAUGGGCGCAAGCCUGAUCGAGCGAUGCCGCGUGAGUGAAGAAGGCCUUCGGGUCGUAAAGCUCUGUUGCCGGGGAAAAAAGUCAGCAUCAGUCAAUGGGUGCUGACUGCUAGUUCCCCGCCAGCAAGUCACGUCUAACUACGUGCCAGCAGCCUCGGCAAUACUUAUGUGUCUAGCGUUAUCCGGAAUGAUUGGGCGUAAGGGGUGCGCAGGCGGUCCUGCAAGUCUGGGGUGAAACGCAUGAGCUCAACUCAUGCAUGGCUUGGGAAACUGGAGGACUGGAGAGCAGGAGAGGGAGGUGGAACUCCAUGUGUAGCGGUAAAAUGCGUAGAUAUAUGGAAGAACACCAGUGGCGAAGGCGGCCGCCUGGACUGUUGCUGACGCUGAGGCACGAAAGCGUGGGGAGCAAAUAGGAUUAGAUACCCUUGUAGUC
Molecule: ribosomal RNA, 465 nt
Filed under: uncultured bacterium
Lineage: Bacteria
Description: partial 16S ribosomal RNA
Rfam family: Bacterial small subunit ribosomal RNA
Source: RNAcentral